This 1242-nucleotide ribosomal RNA is filed under the name metagenome. RNAcentral describes it as "bacterial LSU rRNA". It matches the Rfam family "Bacterial large subunit ribosomal RNA", at positions 1564 to 2814 of the family's 2925-position model. The record is from RNAcentral.
UGAGUACGAGAUGCUACGGCAUCGAAGCAGUCUAUGUCAUACUUCCAAGAAAAGCUUGCAAUGUCAUAAACAAAUAAUGCCUGUACCAUAACCGACACAGGUGGGUAGGUAGAGUAUACUAAGGGGCGCGAGAUAACUCUCUCUAAGGAACUCGGCAAAAUGACUCCGUAACUUCGGGAGAAGGAGUGCCUUAUUUUUAUAAGGUUGCAAUAACAAGAUCCAAGCAACUGUUUACCAAAAACACAGGUCUCCGCUAAGUCGUAAGACGAUGUAUGGGGGCUGACGCCUGCCCAGUGCCAGAAGGUUAAAGAAGUUGGUUAGCAUUAGCGAAGCUGAUAACUGAAGCCCUGGUGAACGGCGGCCGUAACUAUAACGGUCCUAAGGUAGCGAAAUUCCUUGUCGGGUAAGUUCCGACCCGCACGAAAGGCGUAAUGAUUUGGAUACUGUCUCGGAGAGGGGCUCGGUGAAAUAGACUUGUCUGUGAAGAUGCGGACUACCUGCACCUGGACAGAAAGACCCUAUGAAGCUUUACUGUAACUUGAGAUUGAAAUUGGACUUUAUCUGCGCAGUAUAGGUGGGAGACGUUGAAAAUAUUCUUGCGGGAAUAUUGGAGUCAUCAGUGAGAUACCACUCUUAUAAUGUUAGAUUUCUAACUUUGUAUCAUUAUCUGGUCAAAGAACAGUUUCAGGCGGGCAGUUUGACUGGGGCGGUCGCCUCCCAAACGGUAACGGAGGCGCACAAAGGUUUCCUCUGAACGUGUAGAAAUCGUAUCUAGAGUGUAAAGGCAUAAGGAAGCUUGACUGUGAGACCUACAAGUCGAGCAGGGACGAAAGUCGGUCUUAGUGAUCUGACGGUGCUGAGUGGAAAGGCCGUCACUCAACGGAUAAAAGUUACUCUAGGAUAACAGGCUGAUCUCCCCCAAGAGUUCACAUCGACGGGGAGGUUUGGCACCUCGAUGUCGGCUCAUCGCAUCCUGGGGCGGUAGUACGUCCCAAGGGUUGGGCUGUUCGCCCAUGAAAGCGGUACGCGAGCUGGGUUCAGAACGUCGUGAGACAGUUCGGUCCAUAUCCGGUGUAGGCGUUAGAAUAUUGAGAGGAGCCUUCUUUAGUACGAGAGGACCGAGAAGGACAUACCUCUGGUGUACCAGUUAUCGUGCCAACGGUAAACGCUGGGUAGCCAUGUAUGGAGAGGAUAACCGCUGAAAGCAUCUAAGUGGGAAGCCCACCUCAAGAUAAGUAUUCU